GGGGGGGGGGGCAAGCGUUGUUCGGAAUUACUGGGCGUAAAGGGCGUGUAGGCGGUCCUGCAAGUCUUUCGUGAAAUCCCACAGCUCAACUGUGGAACUGCGAGGGAAACUGCAGGACUUGAGUCCGGGAGAGGAGAGUGGAAUUCCCAGUGUAGCGGUGAAAUGCGUAGAUAUUGGGAGGAACACCGGUGGCGAAGGCGGCUCUCUGGACCGGUACUGACGCUGAGGCGCGAAAGCUAGGGGAGCAAACGGGAUUAGAUACCCCGGUAGUCCUAGCCUUAAACGAUGAGCACUUGGUGUGGCGGGUAUCGACCCCUGCCGUGCCGAAGCUAACGCAUUAAGUGCUCCGCCUGGGGAGUACGGUCGCAAAGGCUG
This 375-nucleotide ribosomal RNA is filed under the name uncultured organism. RNAcentral's name for it is "partial 16S ribosomal RNA". It matches the Rfam family "Bacterial small subunit ribosomal RNA", at positions 524 to 896 of the family's 1533-position model. The record is from RNAcentral.